Molecule: non-coding RNA, 116 nt
Organism: Mycena maculata
Lineage: Eukaryota; Fungi; Basidiomycota; Agaricomycetes; Agaricales; Mycenaceae
Source: the annotation of a GenBank genome assembly
GGCAAGAUGGCCGAGCGGUCUAAGGCGCCGCACUCAAGAUUCAUGUGUCUUUCCCAUUGGGUGGGAUCCUAAUUGCGGUCUCGCAAGAGGCGGGGGUUCGAAUCCCCCUCUUGUCA